GCAUUAGCAGUGACUGUGAAUCUAUACUAACACCAAACAAGACAUGAUUUUGAGGAUCAGAGUUCACAUCUUGAUCCACCAAGCAUCCUCUUCCAGGAAGCGGUGCCAAUGCAGAGCUAUGAGGUAUACUGGCUGGUGCAGAGUCCAAUUGUUCCAUCUGGGACGAAACCUGAGGCCGAGAAGGAAGCAAAGACUCCACUGCAACACGCUUCGAUGACCAUGGGUCGGAGACAGGUAUUGCAGUGGGCCUCGGCAUACUGAGGUGAGAAACUGCUUCUGAUGAGAAUGGCCUCAGUGUAUUUUGCAUGGUGUUGGUGUUGGAUGGAGACAAUGAGCUUACAUUUGUAUCUGUAAAG
Molecule: long non-coding RNA, 356 nt
Filed under: Sorghum bicolor (sorghum)
Lineage: Eukaryota; Viridiplantae; Streptophyta; Magnoliopsida; Poales; Poaceae
Description: long non-coding RNA (SBIC_LNC018343)
Source: RNAcentral